GCAACAAAGCCUCCUAACAGAUGUGAAGAUUCGAGGAAGGAUCCAAAGCACAACGGUGGCGGUUCCUGCUUCCAGCCGGUGGCUUCCACUCUCCACUUCCUUUGGGAAUCGCAGCAGGGUUGGCGAGAGCUGGCGAACAAUUUAGAAAGUCACUGUAAAAACACAGCCCUCCGGCAAGGAAGCUUUUCCGGGUUGCAAACCCUUCUUCUAGACCUUCUAGAAAAGCCAGUAACCAGCGCCCUCCCCGAGUCCUCACACUUAGCACAGUCCUUCCUCCGUGUGUCCUGGACACCUUGGGGUCCCCCACUUCAGGCACAGCUGGCUGUGAAGGGCCUUUGUCGAUGUGAACGUGCAGCAGCAGCAGCAGCAGCCUGGGGGUUAGGACGCUGUCCCUCCACGCGGGGGGCUUCGACCUGACC
Molecule: long non-coding RNA, 419 nt
Filed under: Canis lupus dingo (dingo)
Lineage: Eukaryota; Metazoa; Chordata; Mammalia; Carnivora; Canidae
Description: lncRNA (ENSCAFG00020018403.1)
Source: RNAcentral